GAUUUCUGGUGUGGCGCGGCCGGCCCGCCGCCCUCUGGGCGUGUGAGUGUCGGUUCGCGUCUACCAUCCUUCUAGAGAGCAGCUCUGCCAUUCACUUGGUUGGGGUUGCGAUCUGGAUCUUUUACUUUGAAAAAAUUAGAGUGUUCAAAGCAGGCUCGCGCCACUGAAUACAUUAGCAUGGAAUAAUAAAAUAGGACUUUGGUUCUAUUUUGUUGGUUUCUAGGACUGAAGUAAUGAUUGAUAGGGAUAGUUGGGGGUGCUAGUAUUGAACGGCCAGAGGUGAAAUUCUUGGAUUCGUUCAAGACUAACUUAUGCGAAAGCAUU
This 324-nucleotide ribosomal RNA is filed under the name uncultured Glissomonadida. RNAcentral describes it as "SSU rRNA". The stretch from base 106 to 324 matches the Rfam family "Eukaryotic small subunit ribosomal RNA", at positions 736 to 955 of the family's 1831-position model. The record is from RNAcentral. Lineage: Eukaryota; Cercozoa; Glissomonadida.